AGCAUACCGCCCGGCUUCGGACGGGUAAGGUCGAAAGGGUGCGGCAAGAGCGCACCGCGCGUCCGGCAACGGAGGCGGCACGGUAAACCCCACCGGGUGCAAGACCGAAUAGGGGCGGCAUAUGAGCGAUUUCCGGCUCGUCGCCCGGGUUGGUCGCUUGACCCCCGACGCAAGUCUGGGGCUAGAGGAAUGGUCGCUUUCCCCGCGAGGGGUGGACAGAACCCGGCUUACAGGCCCUCUGGCAAU
This 246-nucleotide RNase P RNA is filed under the name Sphingomonas sp. Its description in RNAcentral is "partial RNase P RNA component class A". It matches the Rfam family "Bacterial RNase P class A", at positions 120 to 367 of the family's 367-position model. From Rfam's summary of the family: Ribonuclease P (RNase P) is a ubiquitous endoribonuclease, found in archaea, bacteria and eukarya as well as chloroplasts and mitochondria. The record is from RNAcentral. Lineage: Bacteria; Pseudomonadati; Pseudomonadota; Alphaproteobacteria; Sphingomonadales; Sphingomonadaceae.